This 935-nucleotide small RNA is filed under the name Arabidopsis thaliana (thale cress). Its description in RNAcentral is "ATSL055430". Lineage: Eukaryota; Viridiplantae; Streptophyta; Magnoliopsida; Brassicales; Brassicaceae. The record is from RNAcentral.
CCUUGAUAAAUCUUUAUCAAUAUCAAUAUUAUUGUCAAACAAAAAAGAUUUCUAGUUGUCUAGAUAUGAAUUGUUAUUACUUGAAAUGUCGUCCGACUAUAGAUUUUGUCAUGAAGGUUAGUAGUUAAUUGUAUAAGUUAAAACAAUAUAUCCCAAGCACUUAAUUUAACUUCCAUUAUAAGAUAAUGAAUUAACCAAAUCUCUUACAUGCAUUUCAUCAGUUAUUGGAAAUUGUAGAUAAUAUUGGCAUAGAGCACAUCUUGUACAUUCUUGAGCUUGGUAGCAUUUAAAAACCUAUACAAUAAAGACACAAUAAUUUUUGCAUGGUCUGAUUUAGACAUGAUUACUCUCAAGAAGCCCUUGUCAUUCUCAAAUCAUCACAUUGUUGAAAAGAUAGCUAACAUCCGCAAAGAGAUUGAUUAUGAAAUAAUUGAAUUAGAAAGAAAUAUCUUGAGUAUAUGAGACACUUUAUAGUAUAGAUAUAUUGUUAUAUUUUGUACCUAUAAUUUAGGCAAAAUAUUUUAUAAAAGAUUUAUGCGUAUAUAUGCUAAGAUCCUCUACCACAUUACCACAUGUAUAUAUAUAUGAAAACCCUUGUUAAUAAUAAUUAUUAGUUUAUAACCUUUCUACAUGGUAUUAGAGCCAGGUUCCGAUCAUGGGACAUGUGGGUUAUGGGUCUACCACGCUUCCGCUAUGUAUUUUUCAUUCUCGAUGAGUUAUGGACUUGGUUUUCAUUCUCGAAUGAAUCAUUUGACACUUGACUAUCACUUUGUUUGAGAAUAAGUUCAAGCCAAAACUCGUCGCGUUUCACACAUAAUCUCGAUAACCAAGCUAGCUGACGCGCUCACGAAGUCUUUUCGAUGCGUUGAUUUACAAGAUUGGACUUUGCAAACUACGUUCAUCUUGAAGGGAUGUAUUAGUAUAAAUAUUAUUAU